AAGUCGUAACAAGGUUUCCGUAAGUGAACCUGCGGAAGGAUCAUUAACACGUAUCCAACGUUAAACACCCUGUGAACUUUCAACCUCUGUCCAUCAGGCUACAAUCGAGCUAGGAGCAGUGGCAUGGUUUCCCUAAGCAGUGCAGAAGGAUCCACUGAGUAAGGAUAACGCCUCACGGUUGCCAGAGGUCGAUCACCGGCCGGCAGACAUGUCACAGGGCUAUAUGCCCCCUCAUUCACACCUUGCCCUAUCUGGCCCCACGGAAACGUUGGGGCACAAACCGAACAACUGUUAACAAUGGAUAUCUUGGUUCUC
This 315-nucleotide unclassified non-coding RNA is filed under the name fungal sp. RNAcentral's name for it is "partial internal transcribed spacer region". The stretch from base 1 to 46 matches the Rfam family "Eukaryotic small subunit ribosomal RNA", at positions 1786 to 1831 of the family's 1831-position model. The record is from RNAcentral. Lineage: Eukaryota; Fungi.